This 253-nucleotide ribosomal RNA is filed under the name uncultured bacterium. RNAcentral's name for it is "partial 16S ribosomal RNA". It matches the Rfam family "Bacterial small subunit ribosomal RNA", at positions 524 to 776 of the family's 1533-position model. The record is from RNAcentral.
GGCGAAGGAUGCAAGCGUUAUCCGGAUUCAUUGGGUUUAAAGGGAGCGUAGGUGGCCUUAUAAGUCAGUGGUGAAAUCUCUGGGCUUAACCCAGAAAUUGCCAUUGAUACUGUAGGGCUUGAGUAUAGAUGCCGUUGGCGGAAUAUGACAUGUAGUGGUGAAAUACAUAGAGAUGUCAUAGAACACCGAUUGCGAAGGCAGCUAACGAAACUAUAACUGACACUGAGGCUCGAAAGUGUGGGGAUCAAACAGG